GACGAACGCUGGCGGCGUGCCUAAUACAUGCAAGUAGAACGCACAGUUUAUACCGUAGCUUGCUACACCAUAGACUGUGAGUUGCGAACGGGUUAGGUACGCGUAGGUAACCUGCCUGGUAGCGUGGGAUAACUAUUGGAAACGAUAGCUAAUACCGCAUAAUAUUGAUUAUUGCAUGAUAAUUGAUUGAAAGAUGCUAUUGCAUCACUACCAGAUGGACCUGCGGUGUAUUAGCUAGUAGGUGAGGUAACGGCGAACAUAGGCGACGAUACAGAGCCGCACGGAGAGGGUGGGCAGCCGCACUGGGACUGUGACCCGCCCCAGACUCCUACGGGAGGCAGCAGUAGGGAAUCUUCGGCAAUGGACGAGAGUCUGACCGAGCAACGCCGCGUGAGUGAAGAAGGUUUUCGGAUCGUAAAGCUCUGUUGUAAGAGAAGAACGGGUGUGAGAGUGGAAAGUUCACACUGUGACGGUAUCUUACCAGAAAGCGACGGCUAACUACGUG
RNAcentral lists this ribosomal RNA (505 nucleotides) under uncultured bacterium. RNAcentral's name for it is "partial 16S ribosomal RNA". It matches the Rfam family "Bacterial small subunit ribosomal RNA", at positions 28 to 507 of the family's 1533-position model. The record is from RNAcentral.